CUACGGGUCGCACCAGUGAGGAAUUUUGCGCAAUGGGGGCAACCCUGACGCAGCAACACCGCGUGAGUGAAGAAGGCCUUUGGGUCGUAAAGCUCUGUCAACAGGGAAGAAGUUACGGAUGUUUAAUAGAUGUCUGUAUUGACGGUACCUGUGGAGGAAGCAUCGGCUAACUCCGUGCCAGCAGCCGCGGUAAUACGGGGGAUGCAAGCGUUAUUCGGAAUUAUUGGGCGUAAAGGGCACGCAGGCGGUCUUGUCAGUCAGAUGUGAAAGCCCGGGGCUCAACCCCGGACGUGCAUUUGAAACAGCAAGACUUGAGUACGGUAGAGGAAAGCGGAAUUCCUGGUGUAGAGGUGAAAUUCGUAGAUAUCAGGAGGAACAUCGGUGGCGAAGGCGGCUUUCUGGACCGAAACUGACGCUGAGGUGCGAAGGCGUGGGUAGCGAACAGGAUUAGAUACCCUAGUAGUC
Molecule: ribosomal RNA, 465 nt
Filed under: uncultured bacterium
Lineage: Bacteria
Description: partial 16S ribosomal RNA
Rfam family: Bacterial small subunit ribosomal RNA
Source: RNAcentral